RNAcentral lists this ribosomal RNA (730 nucleotides) under Escherichia coli. RNAcentral describes it as "partial 23S ribosomal RNA". It matches the Rfam family "Bacterial large subunit ribosomal RNA", at positions 2201 to 2925 of the family's 2925-position model. Lineage: Bacteria; Pseudomonadati; Pseudomonadota; Gammaproteobacteria; Enterobacterales; Enterobacteriaceae. The record is from RNAcentral.
CACCCUUUAAUGUUUGAUGUUCUAACGUUGGCCCGUAAUCCGGGUUGCGGACAGUGUCUGGUGGGUAGUUUGACUGGGGCGGUCUCCUCCUAAAGAGUAACGGAGGAGCACGAAGGUUGGCUAAUCCUGGUCGGACAUCAGGAGGUUAGUGCAAUGGCAUAAGCCAGCUUGACUGCGAGCGUGACGGCGCGAGCAGGUGCGAAAGCAGGUCAUAGUGAUCCGGUGGUUCUGAAUGGAAGGGCCAUCGCUCAACGGAUAAAAGGUACUCCGGGGAUAACAGGCUGAUACCGCCCAAGAGUUCAUAUCGACGGCGGUGUUUGGCACCUCGAUGUCGGCUCAUCACAUCCUGGGGCUGAAGUAGGUCCCAAGGGUAUGGCUGUUCGCCAUUUAAAGUGGUACGCGAGCUGGGUUUAGAACGUCGUGAGACAGUUCGGUCCCUAUCUGCCGUGGGCGCUGGAGAACUGAGGGGGGCUGCUCCUAGUACGAGAGGACCGGAGUGGACGCAUCACUGGUGUUCGGGUUGUCAUGCCAAUGGCACUGCCCGGUAGCUAAAUGCGGAAGAGAUAAGUGCUGAAAGCAUCUAAGCACGAAACUUGCCCCGAGAUGAGUUCUCCCUGAGACUUAGAGUCUCCUGAAGGAACGUUGAAGACGACGACGUUGAUAGGCCGGGUGUGUAAGCGCAGCGAUGCGUUGAGCUAACCGGUACUAAUGAACCGUGAGGCUUAACCUU